RNAcentral lists this transfer RNA (71 nucleotides) under Stegodyphus mimosarum. It matches the Rfam family "tRNA". Rfam says of the family: Transfer RNA (tRNA) molecules are approximately 80 nucleotides in length. Their secondary structure includes four short double-helical elements and three loops (D, anti-codon, and T loops). Further hydrogen bonds mediate the characteristic L-shaped molecular structure. tRNAs have two regions of fundamental functional importance: the anti-codon, which is responsible for specific mRNA codon recognition, and the 3' end, to which the tRNAs corresponding amino acid is attached (by aminoacyl-tRNA synthetases). tRNAs cope with the degeneracy of the genetic code in two manners: having more than one tRNA (with a specific anti-codon) for a particular amino acid; and 'wobble' base-pairing, i.e. permitting non-standard base-pairing at the 3rd anti-codon position. The record is from Rfam by way of RNAcentral. Lineage: Eukaryota; Metazoa; Arthropoda; Arachnida; Araneae; Eresidae.
GCCUUCGUAGUAUAGUGGUAGCACACUCGACACGUAAUCGAGAGAUGCAAGUUCAAGUCCCGACGAGGGCA